RNAcentral lists this long non-coding RNA (535 nucleotides) under Androctonus crassicauda. The record is from RNAcentral. Lineage: Eukaryota; Metazoa; Arthropoda; Arachnida; Scorpiones; Buthidae.
AAUGUCACAAUUCCUGUUUGCCCAGUGGAUCAUUUGUAUGUUAACCACUGUAUGUAACCAACCUUAUCUGGCAACAUAAUUGCAGCACAAUAAUGAUUUGCAUGAUACCUUGAAAUUUGGGGGGAGGGGGCAUGCCAACUUGGGCAUCACUUUGUCUUAGCAAUUAAUGGGAUAUUGAUUACUAAAAUAAGUUAAUAUUAAGCAAGGUGCCGGUUGUACAAUCUCUAAUUUGAUCAGUGUCUCUCAGCACUUUGAGCAUUUACUUAGCUCAUCUAGUCUUCCUUUCAUAGCGCAUGGUUGGGCGGAAAAAGUGCAUGCAUCUUUCCUUCACUCCUCUUUUCCCACCCCCUCCCUUUGCACAUAGGUAUUUGGUUUGCUUCCAUCUUUUAUGCAGUGCCUGGUUUAUUUAACCAAUUAAUAUCACUUUUGUUGAUGAGCUAUUGAGAGCUGCAGUAGUUUGCUUUUAGUAUUGUUGUUGCACUUGAGUAGAGACAAACCUUUUAUCACAGUGUCCACAGGACAUACAAGUGCAACU